RNAcentral lists this ribosomal RNA (253 nucleotides) under uncultured bacterium. RNAcentral describes it as "partial 16S ribosomal RNA". It matches the Rfam family "Bacterial small subunit ribosomal RNA", at positions 524 to 776 of the family's 1533-position model. The record is from RNAcentral.
GACGUAGGGCGCGAGCGUUGUCCGGAUUUAUUGGGCGUAAAGAGCUCGUAGGCGGCUUGUCGCGUCGUCCGUGAAAACUUGGGGCUCAACCCCAAGCUUGCGGUCGAUACGGGCAGGCUAGAGUUCGGUAGGGGAGACUGGAAUUCCUGGUGUAGCGGUGAAAUGCGCAGAUAUCAGGAGGAACACCAAUGGCGAAGGCAGAUCUCUGGGCCGUAACUGACGCUGAGGAGCGAAAGCAUGGGGAGCGAACAGG